This 433-nucleotide ribosomal RNA is filed under the name uncultured bacterium. RNAcentral describes it as "partial 16S ribosomal RNA". It matches the Rfam family "Bacterial small subunit ribosomal RNA", at positions 29 to 507 of the family's 1533-position model. The record is from RNAcentral.
AACGAACGCUGGCGGCAUGCCUAACACAUGCAAGUCGAACGAGACCUUCGGGUCUAGUGGCGCACGGGUGCGUAACGCGUGGGAACCUGCCCUUAGGUUCGGAAUAACUCCCCGUAAGGGGUGCUAAUACCGGAUAAUCUCUUCGGACCUAAGAUUUAUCGCCUUUGGAUGGGCCCGCGUUGGAUUCGCUAGUUGGUAGGGUAAAAGCCUACCAAGGCGACGAUCCAUAGCUGGUCUGAGAGGAUGAUCAGCCACACUGGAACUGAGACACGGACCAGAAUGCGACGGGAGGGAGCAGUGGGGAAUAUUGGACAAUGGGCGAAAGCCUGAUCCAGCAAUGCCGCGUGAGUGAGGAAGGCCUUAGGGUUGUAAAGCUCUUUUACACGGGAUGAGAAUGACAGUACCGGGAGAAUAAGCACCGGCUAACUCCGUG